AGUGAACGCUGGCGGUAGGCCUAACACAUGCAAGUCGAACGGCAGCACAGUAAGAGCUUGCUCUUACGGGUGGCGAGUGGCGGACGGGUGAGGAAUACAUCGGAAUCUACUUUUUCGUGGGGGAUAACGUAGGGAAACUUACGCUAAUACCGCAUACGACCUACGGGUGAAAGCGGGGGAUCUUCGGACCUUGCGCGAUUGAAUGAGCCGAUGUCGGAUUAGCUAGUUGGCGGGGUAAAGGCCCACCAAGGCGACGAUCCGUAGCUGGUCUGAGAGGAUGAUCAGCCACACUGGAACUGAGACACGGUCCAGACUCCUACGGGAGGCAGCAGUGGGGAAUAUUGGACAAUGGGCGCAAGCCUGAUCCAGCCAUACCGCGUGGGUGAAGAAGGCCUUCGGGUUGUAAAGCCCUUUUGUUGGGAAAGAAAAGCAGCAGGUUAAUACCCCGCUGCUCUGACGGUACCCAAAGAAUAAGCACCGGCUAACUUCGUG
This 492-nucleotide ribosomal RNA is filed under the name uncultured bacterium. RNAcentral describes it as "partial 16S ribosomal RNA". It matches the Rfam family "Bacterial small subunit ribosomal RNA", at positions 29 to 507 of the family's 1533-position model. The record is from RNAcentral.